This 530-nucleotide long non-coding RNA is filed under the name Junco hyemalis (dark-eyed junco). Its description in RNAcentral is "lncRNA (ENSJHYG00000014692.1)". The record is from RNAcentral. Lineage: Eukaryota; Metazoa; Chordata; Aves; Passeriformes; Passerellidae.
GUAGAAAAUAGCACAGUGGAGAUGAUCAUGUUGUCAGCAGACACACAGGAGUCACACUAUUCACAGAAGAAGCCUUGAGAGGUUUCUGAAAAUGCCUGACAUUCUCCCAAGGUCACAAGGGUAUAAAGACAUUACCUGCCUAAGCAAGCCUCAAGUAGGAAGUCUCCAGAGACCACAGAAAUCCUUAAAAUGGCUGAAGAAUCCUCAUCAAUGGAGGAAAGCCCUAGGCACUUGGUGUAUUUGAGCUCAUCUGUGGACAGUGAGGCUGAUGCACCUGGCCUACAUCUCCCAAGAGGCUCGUGCAGAUUGGAACAGGAGCACAGCACUCUGUGAGGGAGGCCAGAGACACAUUUUCACAUGGUAACUGUGUAAGGACACAGCUGCUUGGCUCAGGUGCAGCAUCUAUUUGCCCUCAGUGCUGUCAGCACUGGGAACAGGAGGAAAGAGUUCAGGAGAUGUGGUCUCUUGGGAGAUCUAACACCAUACUGAUAAUGUGUUACCUGUUUAUAACUUCUGAGUGUCUUCAGGCC